UGGGUGAGUUAGAGUGGGGGAGAGUCGGGCGGCCGGCGGGACGGCCGGGACCAUGCGACGUCGGGCCCAAGUGGGCCCAUCCUGGGUCGUAUUAAUAAGCUUGGGAAACUGGGUCUAAUACCGGAUAUGACCUCGGAAUGCAUGUUCUGGGGUGGAAAGAUUUAUCGGUGCGAGAUGGGCCCGCGGCCUAUCAGCUUGUUGGUGAGGUAACGGCUCACCAAGGCGACGACGGGUAGCCGACCUGAGAGGGUGACCGGCCACACUGGGACUGAGACACGGCCCAGACUCCUACGGGAGGCAGCAGUGGGGAAUAAUGCACAAUGGGCGCAAGCCUGAUGCAGCGACGCCGCGUGCGGGAUGACGGCCUUCGGGUUGUAAACCGCUUUUGACAGGGACGAAGCGCAAGUGACUGUACCUGUAGAAUAAGGACCGGCCAACUACGUGCCAGCAGCCGCGGUAAUACGUAGGGUCCGAGCGUUGUCCGGAAUUACUGGGCGUAAAGAGCUUGUAGGCGGUUCGUCGCGUCGUUUGUGAAAACUUGGGGCUCAACCUUAAGCUUGCGGGCGAUACGGGCGGACUAGAGUACUUCAGGGGAGACUGGAAUUCCUGGUGUAGCGGUGAAAUGCGCAGAUAUCAGGAGGAACGCCGGUGGCGAAGGCGGGUCUCUGGGAAGUAACUGACGCUGAGAAGCGAAAGCAUGGGUAGCAAACAGGAUUAGAUACCCUGGUAGUCCAUGCCGUAAACGGUGGGUACUAGGUGUGGGGCUCCUUCCACGGACUCCGUGCCGUAGCUAACGCAUCAAGUACCCCGCCUGGGGAGUACGGCCGCAAGGCUAAAACUCAAAUGAAUUGACGGGG
This 857-nucleotide ribosomal RNA is filed under the name uncultured Actinomycetes bacterium. RNAcentral's name for it is "bacterial SSU rRNA". It matches the Rfam family "Bacterial small subunit ribosomal RNA", at positions 54 to 918 of the family's 1533-position model. The record is from RNAcentral. Lineage: Bacteria; Bacillati; Actinomycetota; Actinomycetes.